UGGAGCAUAAGUACAGUGAUGGCAGGAAGAAAUCUGUGCCAAGACACAAUGCUACUCUGAUCUAUGUUGCUGAAACUGCCAUUGUUUUUUUUGUCUUGCCAGCUUGAGCGAAACCAGGAUAUACAGCCAAAUCGCCUUCAAUCUCUGCCUACACCAUUGCUCGCCUGAUGUGAAAGCUAUGAUCCAGUUUCAGCCUUUCAGGAGAAGAAUGCUAAUAACACGGCAGAGGGUGUGAGGACUGGCGGUGGCCAGGCGCAGUUCUCAACCGGUUUAAGCAGGAGGCCCUGGAUUUGAAGAAGCGCCCUGUGCCCAGGUACACUGGUGUCAGUGAGGCAGGGGUGCAACGGCCAGCAUCAGCGGAGCAGGGCUGAGAGGAGAAGAAGUAGAGGCCCCCCUCUCACACCUGAG
Molecule: long non-coding RNA, 408 nt
Organism: Carcharodon carcharias (great white shark)
Lineage: Eukaryota; Metazoa; Chordata; Chondrichthyes; Lamniformes; Lamnidae
Exons: 3
Source: RefSeq, a predicted model, not a curated record